UGCUGACAGUGGCAUAGUUACAUUAACUGU
This 30-nucleotide non-coding RNA is filed under the name Homo sapiens (human). The record is from RNAcentral. Lineage: Eukaryota; Metazoa; Chordata; Mammalia; Primates; Hominidae.